GAUGAACGCUGACAGAAUGCUUAACACAUGCAAGUCGAUGGGGAAGUGGUGCUUGCACCAUGGCAACCAUGGCGGACGGGUGAGUAACGCGUAAGGGACUUACCUGCAGGACUGGGAUAACAGGGGGAAACUCCUGACAAGACCGGAUAAUGUCAUGGAGCUGCAUGGCUUUAUGAUGAAAGGAGACGCCUGCGGAGAGCCUUGCGUCCUAUUAGCUAGUUGGUGAGGUAAUGGCUCACCAAGGCGAAGAUAGGUAGCCGGCCUGAGAGGGUGGACGGCCAAAAGGGGACUGAGAUACGGCCCUUACUCCUAAGGGAGGCAGGCGUGGGGAAUAUUGGACAAUGGGGGCAACCCUGAUCCAGCAAUUCUGUGUGCACGAAGAAGGUUUUCGGAUUGUAAAGUGCUUUCAGCAGGGAAGAAGUAAGUGACGGUACCUGCAGAAGAAGCGACGGCUAAAUACGUG
RNAcentral lists this ribosomal RNA (463 nucleotides) under uncultured bacterium. RNAcentral describes it as "partial 16S ribosomal RNA". It matches the Rfam family "Bacterial small subunit ribosomal RNA", at positions 28 to 507 of the family's 1533-position model. The record is from RNAcentral.